UACGUAGGGUGCAAGCGUUGUCCGGAAUUAUUGGGCGUAAAGAGCUCGUAGGUGGCCUGUCGCGUCGGCUGUGAAAACUCGGGGCUCAACUCCGAGCUUGCAGUCGAUACGGGCAGGCUAGAGUUCGGCAGGGGAGACUGGAAUUCCUGGUGUAGCGGUGAAAUGCGCAGAUAUCAGGAGGAACACCGGUGGCGAAGGCGGGUCUCUGGGUCGAUACUGACACUGAGGAGCGAAAGCGUGGGGAGCGAACAGG
Molecule: ribosomal RNA, 253 nt
Filed under: uncultured bacterium
Lineage: Bacteria
Description: partial 16S ribosomal RNA
Rfam family: Bacterial small subunit ribosomal RNA
Source: RNAcentral